Molecule: non-coding RNA, 239 nt
Organism: Thiorhodospira sibirica ATCC 700588
Lineage: Bacteria; Pseudomonadati; Pseudomonadota; Gammaproteobacteria; Chromatiales; Ectothiorhodospiraceae
Source: Rfam
AAACCCGUGAGGGAAUGUCUGAAGGAAGCCCGAGCGCAAAGGUGUGAGCCAACGUACAGAUAAAAUCGCCGGGAGCGAUUUUGAACAGCCGCAGCCUAGCCCGAAGGGCGAGCCCCAGGGAUGGGGCGAGUAAAUCGCAUAUAAGGCUCAGUCCCCGGGCGAGUCAGCACAAGGUGACGAAGCCCAUCAGGUGCAGGGGAUCGGGUAAAUGCGGCGGUUAUGGACUGAAAGUUUAUGUU